UACAGAGGGGGCAAGCGUUAUUCGGAAUUAUUGGGCGUAAAGGGCGCGUAGGCGGGCAUGCGUGUCUUCCGUGAAAUCCCUCGGCUUAACUGAGGACGUGCGGAAGAAACUGCAAGGCUCGAGUCCGGGAGAGGGGGGUGGAAUUCCCAGUGUAGCGGUGAAAUGCGUAGAUAUUGGGAAGAACACCCGUGGCGAAGGCGGCUCCCUGGGACGGUACUGACGCUGAGACGCGAAAGCGUGGGGAGCGAACAGG
RNAcentral lists this ribosomal RNA (253 nucleotides) under uncultured bacterium. RNAcentral describes it as "partial 16S ribosomal RNA". It matches the Rfam family "Bacterial small subunit ribosomal RNA", at positions 524 to 776 of the family's 1533-position model. The record is from RNAcentral.